UUAUUAGACUUGUUACAAGGUUGUUCUAACAAGUCUGAUACGGUCAUGAUAUAGCAAGAAUGUUACAAGGUUGACGACACAAGGUUGUAACAAUAUUGUUAUACCAUGACUGUAUCAGACUUGUUGGAACAACCUUGCAACAAGUCUGAUAA
Molecule: microRNA precursor, 152 nt
Filed under: Paramuricea clavata
Lineage: Eukaryota; Metazoa; Cnidaria; Anthozoa; Malacalcyonacea; Plexauridae
Source: RNAcentral